AGACAUGAGAGUGAUUUGGCUGUGAUAUCUAUCACCCCAUUGACCGCCAGGGUUGAUUUGGCUGAUCUGGGUAGGCAGGUGUCCCCUUCCUCCCUCACCAGUCCAUGUAUGUACCUCCCAAAGCUGUGCACUUAGUCAAAGAGGAUGACCAUCCCUGCUAGAGCAGGACCAUUCUUCGAUUAAAGGUAUACAAGUAGUUGCACUCUCCUGCUAGAACCUCCAAACAAACUUUCAAAGGAAAGCAAUCAAUGAAAUUUAAAAGAGAGAAACCAUAAGGAAAAUAAAUGAAGCAAUAGCUGAUUUCUUU
Molecule: small nuclear RNA, 307 nt
Filed under: Carlito syrichta (Philippine tarsier)
Lineage: Eukaryota; Metazoa; Chordata; Mammalia; Primates; Tarsiidae
Description: 7SK RNA (ENSTSYG00000023535.2)
Rfam family: 7SK RNA
About the family: 7SK was discovered as an abundant small nuclear RNA in the mid-70s but a possible function has only recently been suggested. Two independent studies have found that 7SK RNA binds the CDK9/cyclin T complex (known as elongation factor P-TEFb). P-TEFb activates transcription by phosphorylating the C-terminal domain of RNA polymerase II.
Source: Rfam by way of RNAcentral